Non-coding RNA from Camarhynchus parvulus, 139 nucleotides. Lineage: Eukaryota; Metazoa; Chordata; Aves; Passeriformes; Thraupidae. The record is from Ensembl.
GCGUCCUGACCUUGGCCUGGCUGUUCCCCUCACCAGAACUGUGGUGCUGGGGUCUGGGGGUGGACGCAGAUCAACUUACUCUCGUGUUAGGAGGGCUGCCAAAGACAUGUGCGAGCCCUUAAAGGCAAGAGAGGACACU